GACGAACGCUGGCGGCGUGCUUAACACAUGCAAGUCGAACGGAAAGGCCCUGCUUUUGUGGGGUGCCCGAGUGGCGAACGGGUGAGUAACACGUGAGUAACCUGCCCUUGACUUUGGGAUAACUUCAGGAAACUGGGGCUAAUACCGGAUAGGAGCUCCUGCUGCAUGGUGGGGGUUGGAAAGUUUCGGCGGUUGGGGAUGGACUCGCGGCUUAUCAGCUUGUUGGUGGGGUAGUGGCUUACCAAGGCUUUGACGGGUAGCCGGCCUGAGAGGGUGACCGGCCACAUUGGGACUGAGAUACGGCCCAGACUCCUACGGGAGGCAGCGGUGGGGAAUAUUGCACAAUGGGCGGAAGCCUGAUGCAGCAACGCCGCGUGCGGGAUGACGGCCUUCGGGUUGUAAACCGCUUUCGCCUGUGACGAAGCGUGAGUGACGGUAAUGGGUAAAGAAGCACCGGCUAACUACGUG
Molecule: ribosomal RNA, 468 nt
Filed under: uncultured bacterium
Lineage: Bacteria
Description: partial 16S ribosomal RNA
Rfam family: Bacterial small subunit ribosomal RNA
Source: RNAcentral